AAUACACGGGAUCGCCAUCCAUCAGCGCGUUGCGCCCAUGGGUGACGUUGUC
This 52-nucleotide small RNA is filed under the name Cereibacter changlensis. RNAcentral's name for it is "ffh sRNA". It matches the Rfam family "ffh sRNA". The record is from RNAcentral. RNAcentral also lists the same sequence under 1 other name. Lineage: Bacteria; Pseudomonadati; Pseudomonadota; Alphaproteobacteria; Rhodobacterales; Paracoccaceae.